RNAcentral lists this ribosomal RNA (1251 nucleotides) under Salmonella enterica. Its description in RNAcentral is "partial 23S ribosomal RNA". It matches the Rfam family "Bacterial large subunit ribosomal RNA", at positions 313 to 1566 of the family's 2925-position model. The record is from RNAcentral. Lineage: Bacteria; Pseudomonadati; Pseudomonadota; Gammaproteobacteria; Enterobacterales; Enterobacteriaceae.
UGAAUCAGCAUGUGUGUUAGUGGAAGCGUCUGGAAAGGCGCGCGAUACAGGGUGACAGCCCCGUACACAAAAGCGCAUGUGCUGUGAGCUCGAUGAGUAGGGCGGGACACGUGGUAUCCUGUCUGAAUAUGGGGGGACCAUCCUCCAAGGCUAAAUACUCCUGACUGACCGAUAGUGAACCAGUACCGUGAGGGAAAGGCGAAAAGAACCCCGGCGAGGGGAGUGAAAAAGAACCUGAAACCGUGUACGUACAAGCAGUGGGAGCACAGGUUUACCUGUGUGACUGCGUACCUUUUGUAUAAUGGGUCAGCGACUUAUAUUCUGUAGCAAGGUUAACCGUAUAGGGGAGCCGGAGGGAAACCGAGUCUUAACCGGGCGUUAAGUUGCAGGGUAUAGACCCGAAACCCGGUGAUCUAGCCAUGGGCAGGUUGAAGGUUGGGUAACACUAACUGGAGGACCGAACCGACUAAUGUUGAAAAAUUAGCGGAUGACCUGUGGCUGGGGGUGAAAGGCCAAUCAAACCGGGAGAUAGCUGGUUCUCCCCGAAAGCUAUUUAGGUAGCGCCUCGUGAACUCAUCUCCGGGGGUAGAGCACUGUUUCGGCUAGGGGGCCAUCCCGGCUUACCAACCCGAUGCAAACUGCGAAUACCGGAGAAUGUUAUCACGGGAGACACACGGCGGGUGCUAACGUCCGUCGUGAAGAGGGAAACAACCCAGACCGCCAGCUAAGGUCCCAAAGUCAUGGUUAAGUGGGAAACGAUGUGGGAAGGCCCAGACAGCCAGGAUGUUGGCUUAGAAGCAGCCAUCAUUUAAAGAAAGCGUAAUAGCUCACUGGUCGAGUCGGCCUGCGCGGAAGAUGUAACGGGGCUAAACCAUGCACCGAAGCUGCGGCAGCGACACUCAGGUGUUGUUGGGUAGGGGAGCGUUCUGUAAGCCUGUGAAGGUGUGUCGUGAGGCAUGCUGGAGGUAUCAGAAGUGCGAAUGCUGACAUAAGUAACGAUAAAGCGGGUGAAAAGCCCGCUCGCCGGAAGACCAAGGGUUCCUGUCCAACGUUAAUCGGGGCAGGGUGAGUCGACCCCUAAGGCGAGGCCGAAAGGCGUAGUCGAUGGGAAACGGGUUAAUAUUCCCGUACUUGGUGUUACUGCGAAGGGGGGACGGAGAAGGCUAUGUUGGCCGGGCGACGGUUGUCCCGGUUUAAGCGUGUAGGUGUGUGUUCCAGGUAAAUCCGGUCCACUUUAACACUGAGGCGUGA